Molecule: non-coding RNA, 395 nt
Organism: Cinara cedri
Lineage: Eukaryota; Metazoa; Arthropoda; Insecta; Hemiptera; Aphididae
Source: the annotation of a GenBank genome assembly
AUCUCACUUUAAGUGUAAAGCGCGUAUUUCCGCGCGUUGAGACUCUAGAGGGAAAACGUGUCAAUAGUCACUUUUCUAUGUGCAGUUUUCGAACUUAAAUUAAAGGUUUAGGAACCGGCCUACUCGAGAAUUAUAAUUUCGAAAAAAGUAAUUCCCUCUCGAAAAGCACGGAAACGCGACGGAGACACGUUUCUAUAACGACGUCUUCGGGAUCUCUCGCGUAUAUGUAUAUAAUAACGUAUGCGCAGGUACAUUAUGUUCACCGCGUAGAAACUCAGACUUACGGGAUUCCGAACGGACAGUCGGAAAAAACAAAUACAACGACAUUGGCGACGUGUGCACCACCGUGCGUAUUCGUUUCGUAUGCACGGAAAGUCGGUAAUAUUGUUUUAAGA